GGGUUGUGAGGUUAAGCGACUAAGCGUACACGGUGGAUGCCCUGGCAGUCAGAGGCGAUGAAGGACGUGCUAAUCUGCGAUAAGCGUCGGUAAGGUGAUAUGAACCGUUAUAACCGGCGAUUUCCGAAUGGGGAAACCCAGUGUGAUUCGUCACACUAUCAUUAACUGAAUCCAUAGGUUAAUGAGGCGAACCGGGGGAACUGAAACAUCUAAGUACCCCGAGGAAAAGAAAUCAACCGAGAUUCCCCCAGUAGCGGCGAGCGAACGGGGAGCAGCCCAGAGCCUGAAUCAGUGUGUGUGUUAGUGGAAGCGUCUGGAAAGGCGCGCGAUACAGGGUGACAGCCCCGUACACAAAAAUGCACAUGCUGUGAGCUCGAUGAGUAGGGCGGGACACGUGGUAUCCUGUCUGAAUAUGGGGGGACCAUCCUCCAAGGCUAAAUACUCCUGACUGACCGAUAGUGAACCAGUACCGUGAGGGAAAGGCGAAAAGAACCCCGGCGAGGGGAGUGAAAAAGAACCUGAAACCGUGUACGUACAAGCAGUGGGAGCACAGAGCAAUC
Molecule: ribosomal RNA, 560 nt
Filed under: Escherichia coli
Lineage: Bacteria; Pseudomonadati; Pseudomonadota; Gammaproteobacteria; Enterobacterales; Enterobacteriaceae
Description: partial 23S ribosomal RNA
Rfam family: Bacterial large subunit ribosomal RNA
Source: RNAcentral